AGUUAAUGAACUUGUACAAGUAUAUGUUUUGAAAACAUAAUAAAGAAGUAAAAUCUUCUAUUGACUU
RNAcentral lists this transfer RNA (67 nucleotides) under Deporaus marginatus. RNAcentral describes it as "tRNA-Ser". The record is from RNAcentral. Lineage: Eukaryota; Metazoa; Arthropoda; Insecta; Coleoptera; Attelabidae.